RNAcentral lists this ribosomal RNA (2186 nucleotides) under Titanoeca sp. CG64. RNAcentral's name for it is "eukaryotic LSU rRNA". It matches the Rfam family "Eukaryotic large subunit ribosomal RNA", at positions 52 to 1873 of the family's 3401-position model. The record is from RNAcentral. Lineage: Eukaryota; Metazoa; Arthropoda; Arachnida; Araneae; Titanoecidae.
GGAGGAAAAGAAACCAACUGGGAUUCCCUCAGUAGCGGCGAGCGAAGAGGGAGGAGUCCAGCGCCGAAUCCCCCGGCUGGCAACCGGCGGGAACUGUGGCGUUCGGGAGUGAGCGUUCCGAGGGACGUCUGCGCGCCUCAAGUUCCCUUGACAGGGGCAUUCAACGCCCGUAGAGGGUGCGAGGCCCGUAGAGGUGCGCGCGUUCCCGGAUGCGAUCUCUCUAGAGUCGGUCUGCUUGAGAGUGCAGGCCAAAGCGGGUGGUAAACUCCAUCCAAGACUAAAUACGACCGUGAGACCGAUAGCAAACAAGUACCGUGAGGGAAAGUUGCAAAGAACUUUGAAGAGAGAGUUCAAGAGUACGUGAAACUGCUCAGAGGUAAACGGGUGGAACCUCGAAAUCCCGGGGCGAGAGGAUUCAACGUCCGUCGUCGUGGAGCGCCGUCGACGGUCGUGGGCGGACCCCUGUAGUGGGGGCGAGCCUGCGGAGUUCGUCGGUGCCUCGCUCGUCGUCUGGCGUGCAGUUGACUCCCGCCCUGAAAGGGGCCCCGCGACCGGUCGGCGCAAAGAGAGAAGAGGGGUGAGAGGAAGGCGACACUGUGGCAGGUUCACGGGCCAGGGCUUCCUCCGAGUCGCUCAUGUCCGUGGACCGAGCUCGUCCGAAAGCGGCCCCCGCCCGACCGCGGUCCAAAGCUCCCCUCGAGGGAGCGUCACGCACUUCUCGUUUCAGCCGCGGGGAGACCCCCUGUACCGUCUCCGCAAGCCCGGGCGUCCGCACUGUUCGCAGUGGGGCGUCGGGGCGGAGGAGCGAAUAGGGGAACCAAGCGCAGAGGACGAGGAGGUCUGCGGGGAGUAGGUCGGUCAUCCACCCGACCCGUCUUGAAACACGGACCAAGGAGUCUAACAUGUGCGCGAGUCGCCGGGACUUGAACAGGCCCGGAGGCGAAGUGAAAGCGAUGAUUUGAAAGCCGUGAUCCCCGUGGGUGGAACCCGGGGCGCAGCGGCGGCCCGUCCCGCUCGCCGAGGCGUGCGGGCGGAGUCUGAGCGCACACGUUGGUGCCCGAAAGAUGGUGAACUAUGCACGGCCAGGACGAAGACAGAGGAAACUCUGUUGGAGGUCCGAAGCGGUUCUGACGUGCAAAUCGAUCGUCAGAGCCGUGUAUAGGGGUGAAAGGCCAAUCGAACCAUCUAGUAGCUGGUUCCCUCCGAAGUUUCCCUCAGGAUAGCUGGCACUCGGGGAAACGCAGUCUCAUGCCGUAAAGCGAAUGAUUAGAGGCAUUGGGACCGAAACGAUCUCAACCUAUUCUCAAACUUUGAAUGCGUGAGUUGUCCGCCUUGCCGUCCCCUAUCCGGAAGGCCGGACCCACGAUGCGAGUGCCCAGUGGGCCACUUUUGGUAAGCAGAACUGGCGCUGUGGGAUGAACCAAACGCCGGGUUACGGUGUCCGAUGCGUUCAGACGCUCAUCAGACCCCAUAAAAGGUGUUGGUUGCUGAAGACAGCAGGACGGUGGCCACGGAGGUUGGAACCCGCUAAGGAGUGUGUAACAACUCACCUGCCGAAGCAACUAGCCCUGAAAAUGGAUGUCGCUCAAGCGUCGAACCCAUACCCGGCCGCUGACCCAGAACCCGGCCAAUUCCACGGGAAUAUUACGGGUCAGCGAGUAGGAGGGUCGCCCCGGGGAGCGUGGAAGGGUAGGGCGUGAGCCCGCCUGGAGCCCCCGGGGGUGCAGAUCUUGGUGGUAGUAGCAAAUACUCGAGCAAGAGCCUUGAGGACUGAAGACGGAGAAGGUUUCCAUGUGAACAGCAGUUGAACAUGGGUCAGUCGGUCCUGAGGGAUCGGCGAAAGCCGUUCGUAAGCGGGGACGUUACCAAGGUGAGUCCCGCGCAGACCGAAUGGUGAUGGGGUUAAUAUUCCCCAACCCGCACGCGGAGAUCGGGACUUCGGUCCCAAGAGCGGUAACGCAACCGAACUCGGAGACGCCGGCGGAGGACCCGGGGAAGAGUUAUCUUUUCUUUGUAAGGGUUCAUGUCCCUGGAACCGGCUCGUCCGGAGAUAGGGAUGUCGUUCCCGUAAAAGCACCGCGGCUCUCGCGGUGUCCGGUCCGCCUCUGUCGGCCCUUGAAAAUCCGAGGGAGUGAGUGUGAUUUUCGCGGCGGGCCGUACCUAUAUCCGCAGCAGGUCUCCAAGGU